This 492-nucleotide ribosomal RNA is filed under the name uncultured organism. Its description in RNAcentral is "bacterial SSU rRNA". It matches the Rfam family "Bacterial small subunit ribosomal RNA", at positions 30 to 507 of the family's 1533-position model. The record is from RNAcentral.
AUUGAACGCUGGCGGUAUGCCUAACACAUGCAAGUCGAACGGUAACAGAGAGAAGCUUGCUUCUUUGCUGACGAGUGGCGGACGGGUGAGUAACGCGUGGGAAUCUACCCAGUAGUUGGGGAUAGCCCGGAGAAAUCCGGAUUAAAACCGAAUAAUAUCUACGGAUGAAAGGGUGCCUCUUCUUGAAAGCACUUGCUAUUGGAUGAGCCCGCGUUAGAUUAGUUUGUUGGUGGGGUAACGGCCUACCAAGACUGCGAUCUAUAGCUGGUUUGAGAGGAUGAUCAGCCACAUUGGGACUGAGACACGGCCCAGACUCCUACGGGAGGCAGCAGUGGGGAAUAUUGGACAAUGGGCGCAAGCCUGAUCCAGCAAUACCGCGUGUGUGAAGAAGGCCUUCGGGUUGUAAAGCACUUUUAUGUAGGAAGAAGGUGUGUGUGUUAAUAGCACAUGCAUUUGACGGUACUACAAGAAUAAGCACCGGCUAACUCCGUG